UCUAAAAACAAACCAACAUAAUAAAAUGCAUGUAAUAAAGCACCAAAAUUAAACCCACCCAACAACUUCACAACUAACGAAAUAUAUCAAAACGUUAUAAACCCAAGAUGUAUGGUGAUCCUUUCAUCUAGAAAUGUCAAUACAAAACUUAACCGAAAGACAUGAAGAACAAUAACUCAAAUGAUUUAUACAGAGGCGACAAUUAUUUUUUAAAUCAAAUAUAGAUUCUUACAUUAAAUUUAAUUUAGUAUUCCACGGUUUUUUGUUGUUGUUGUUGUUGAUGUUGUUUUUUGUAAGUGUGUGGUUGAAAAUAAAAAAAUAAUAACACUAUAGUUCAAAAGUUUGCUUUCGAUGAGCGAGUUAACAGAUGAACUAGGACACUGAUGUAGGUUUUGUAACAGAUGAACUAGGACACUGGUGUAGGUUUUGUAACAGAUGGACUAGGACACUGAUGUAGGUUUUGUAACAGAUGGACUAGGACACUGAUGUAGGUUUUGUUAUAGAUGAACUAUAGGACACUGAUGUAGGUUUUGUUAUAGAUGGACUAGGACACUGAUGUAGGUUUUGUUAUAGAUGGACUAGGACACUGAUGUAGGUUUUGUUAUAGAUGAACUAGGACACUGAUGUAGGUUUUGUUAUAGAUGGACUAGGACACUGAUGGAGGUUUUGUUAUAGAUGAACUAGGACACUGAUGUAGGUUUUGUUAUAGAUGAACUAGGACACUCAUGUAGGUUUUGUUAUAGAUGGACUAGGACACUGAUGUAGGUUUGUAACAGAUGGACUAGGACACUGAUGUAGGUUUUGUAACAGAUGGACUAGGACACUGAUGUAGGUUUUGUUAUAGAUGAACUAGGACACUGAUGUAGGUUUUGUUAUAGAUGAACUAGGACACUGAUGUAGGUUUUGUUAUAGAUGGACUAGGACACUGAUGGAGGUUUUGUUAUAGAUGAACUAGGACACUGAUGUAGGUUUUGUUAUAGAUGAACUAGGACACUGAUGGAGGUUUUGUAAAAGAUGAACUAGGACACUGAUGGAGGUUUUGUUAUAGAUGAACUAGGACACUGAUGUAGGUUUUGUUAUAGAUGAACUAGGACACUGAUGGAGGUUUUGUAAAAGAUGAACUAGGACACUGAUGGAGGUUUUGUUAUAGAUGAACUAGGACACUGAUGUAGGUUUUGUUAUAGAUGAACUAGGACACUGAUGGAGGUUUUGUAACAGAUGGACUAGGACACUGAUGGGAGGUUUUGUUAUAAAUGAACUAGGACACUGAUGGAGGUUUUGUUAUAGAUGAACUAGGACACUGAUGUACGUUUGUUAUAGAUGAACUAGGACACUGAUGGAGGUUUUGUUAUAGAUGAACUAGGACACUGAUGGAGGUUUUGUUAUAGAUGAACUAGGACACUGAUGUAGGUUUUGUUAUAGAUGAACUAGGACACUGAUGUAGGUUUUGUUAUAGAUGAACUAGGACACUGAUGGAGGUUUUGUUAUAGACGGACUAGGACACUGAUGUAGGUUUUGUUAUAGAUGAACUAGGACACUGAUGUAGGUUUUGUUAUAGAUGAACUAGGACACUGAUGGAGGUUUUGUUAUAGACGGACUAGGACACUGAUGUAGGUUUUGUUAUAGAUGAACUAGGACACUGAUGUAGGUUUUGUUAUAGACGGACUAGGACACUGAUGUAGGUUUUGUAACAGAUGGAAUAGGACACUGAUGGAGGUUUGGUUAUAGAUGAACUAGGACACUGAUGUAGGUUUUGUAACAGAUGGACUAGGACACUGAUGUAGGUUUUGAUAUAGACGGACUAGGACACUGAUGUAGGUUUUGUUAUAGACGAACUAGGACAAUGAUGGAGGUUUUGUUAUAGAUGAACUAGGACACUGAUGUAGGUUUUGUAACAGAUGAACUAGGACACUGAUGUAGGUUUUGUUAUAGAUGAACUAGGACACUGAUGUAGGUUUUGUUAUAGACGGACUAGGAAAAUGAUGGAGGUUUUGUUAUAGAUGAACUAGGACACUGAUGUAGGUUUUGUUAUAGACGGACUAGGACACUGAUGUAGGUUUUGAUAUAGACGGACUAGGACACUGAUGGAGGUUUUGUUAUAGACGAAUUAGGACAAUGAUGUAGGUUUUGUUAUAGAUGGACUAGGACACUGAUGUAGGUUUUGUUAUAGAUGGACUAGGACACUGAUGGAGGUUUUGUUAUAGACGGACUAGGACACUGAUGUAGGUUUUGUUAUAGAUGAACUAGGACACUGAUGUAGGUUUUGUUAUAGACGGACUAGGACACUGAUGUAGGUUUUGUUAUAGAUGGACUAGGACACUGAUGUAGGUUUUGUUAUAGAUGGACUAGGACACUGAUGGAGGUUUUGUUAUAGAUGAACUAGGACACUGAUGUAGGUUUUGUUAUAGAUGGACUAGGACACUGAUGUAGGUUUUGUUAUAGAUGAACUAGGACACUGAUGUAGGUUUUGUUAUAGAUGGACUAGGACACUGAUGGAGGUUUUGUUAUAGAUGAACUAGGACACUGAUGUAGGUUUUGUUAUAGAUGAACUAGGACACUGAUGUAGGUUUUGUUAUAGACGGACUAGGACACUGAUGUAGGUUUUGUUAUAGAUGAACUAGGACACUGAUGUAGGUUUUGUUAUAGAUGAACUAGGACACUGAUGUAGGUUUUGUUAUAGAUGGACUAGGACACUGAUGUAGGUUUUGUUAUAGAUGAACUAGGACACUGAUGUAGGUUUUGUUAUAGAUGAACUAGGACACUGAUGUAGGUUUUGUUA
Long non-coding RNA from Gigantopelta aegis, 2779 nucleotides. RefSeq lists it as uncharacterized. NCBI's taxonomy places the organism in Eukaryota, Metazoa, Mollusca, Gastropoda, Neomphalida, Peltospiridae. The transcript is spliced from 3 exons. The record is from RefSeq and is a predicted model, not a curated record.